Molecule: ribosomal RNA, 533 nt
Filed under: uncultured bacterium
Lineage: Bacteria
Description: bacterial SSU rRNA
Rfam family: Bacterial small subunit ribosomal RNA
Source: RNAcentral
UGGGGAAUAUUGCACAAUGGGCGCAAGCCUGAUGCAGCGACGCCGCGUGGGGGAUGACGGCCUUCGGGUUGUAAACUCCUUUCGCUAGGGACGAAGCUUUUUGUGACGGUACCUAGAUAAGAAGCACCGGCUAACUACGUGCCAGCAGCCGCGGUAAUACGUAGGGUGCGAGCGUUGUCCGGAAUUACUGGGCGUAAAGGGCUCGUAGGUGGUUUGUCGCGUCGUCUGUGAAAUUCCGGGGCUUAACUCCGGGCGUGCAGGCGAUACGGGCAUAACUUGAGUACUGUAGGGGUAACUGGAAUUCCUGGUGUAGCGGUGAAAUGCGCAGAUAUCAGGAGGAACACCGAUGGCGAAGGCAGGUUACUGGGCAGUUACUGACGCUGAGGAGCGAAAGCAUGGGUAGCGAACAGGAUUAGAUACCCUGGUAGUCCAUGCCGUAAACGGUGGGCGCUAGGUGUGAGGGUCUUUUCACGACUUUCGUGCCGUAGCUAACGCAUUAAGCGCCCCGCCUGGGGAGUACGGCCGCAAGGCUA